CUGGAGGUAUCAGAAGUGCGAAUGCUGACAUAAGUAACGAUAAAGCGGGUGAAAAGCCCGCUCGCCGGAAGACCAAGGGUUCCUGUCCAACGUUAAUCGGGGCAGGGUGAGUCGACCCCUAAGGCGAGGCCGAAAGGCGUAGUCGAUGGGAAACGGGUUAAUAUUCCCGUACUUGGUGUUACUGCGAAGGGGGGACGGAGAAGGCUAUGUUGGCCGGGCGACGGUUGUCCCGGUUUAAGCGUGUAGGUGUGUGUUCCAGGUAAAUCCGGUUCACUUUAACACUGAGGCGUGAUGACGAGGCACUACGGUGCUGAAGUAACAAAUGCCCUGCUUCCAGGAAAAGCCUCUAAGCAUCAGGUAACAUCAAAUCGUACCCCAAACCGACACAGGUGGUCAGGUAGAGAAUACCAAGGCGCUUGAGAGAACUCGGGUGAAGGAACUAGGCAAAAUGGUGCCGUAACUUCGGGAGAAGGCACGCUGACACGUAGGUGAAGUGAUUUACUCACGGAGCUGAAGUCAGUCGAAGAUACCAGCUGGCUGCAACUGUUUAUUAAAAACACAGCACUGUGCAAACACGAAAGUGGACGUAUACGGUGUGACGCCUGCCCGGUGCCGGAAGGUUAAUUGAUGGGGUCAGCGCAAGCGAAGCUCCUGAUCGAAGCCCCGGUAAACGGCGGCCGUAACUAUAACGGUCCUAAGGUAGCGAAAUUCCUUGUCGGGUAAGUUCCGACCUGCACGAAUGGCGUAAUGAUGGCCAGGCUGUCUCCACCCGAGACUCAGUGAAAUUGAACUCGCUGUGAAGAUGCAGUGUACCCGCGGCAAGACGGAAAGACCCCGUGAACCUUUACUAUAGCUUGACACUGAACAUUGAGCCUUGAUGUGUAGGAUAGGUGGGAGGCUUUGAAGUGUGGACGCCAGUCUGCAUGGAGCCGACCUUGAAAUACCACCCUUUAAUGUUUGAUGUUCUAACGUGGACCCGUUACCCGGGUUGCGGACAGUGUCUGGUGGGUAGUUUGACUGGGGCGGUCUCCUCCUAAAGAGUAACGGAGGAGCACGAAGGUUGGCUAAUCCUGGUCGGACAUCAGGAGGUUAGUGCAAUGGCAUAAGCCAGCUUGACUGCGAGCGUGACGGCGCGAGCAGGUGCGAAAGCAGGUCAUAGUGAUCCGGUGGUUCUGAAUGGAAGGGCCAUCGCUCAACGGAUAAAAGGUACUCCGGGGAUAACAGGCUGAUACCGCCCAAGAGUUCAUAUCGACGGCGGUGUUUGGCACCUCGAUGUCGGCUCAUCACAUCCUGGGGCUGAAGUAGGUCCCAAGGGUAUGGCUGUUCGCCAUUUAAAGUGGUACGCGAGCUGGGUUUAGAACGUCGUGAGACAGUUCGGUCCCUAUCUGCCGUGGGCGCUGGAGAACUGAGGGGGGCUGCUCCUAGUACGAGAGGACCGGAGUGGACGCAUCACUGGUGUUCGGGUUGUCAUGCCAAUGGCACUGCCCGGUAGCUAAAUGCGGAAGAGAUAAGUGCUGAAAGCAUCUAAGCACGAAACUUGCCCCGA
RNAcentral lists this ribosomal RNA (1546 nucleotides) under Salmonella enterica. Its description in RNAcentral is "partial 23S ribosomal RNA". It matches the Rfam family "Bacterial large subunit ribosomal RNA", at positions 1273 to 2802 of the family's 2925-position model. Lineage: Bacteria; Pseudomonadati; Pseudomonadota; Gammaproteobacteria; Enterobacterales; Enterobacteriaceae. RNAcentral also lists the same sequence under 1 other name. The record is from RNAcentral.